This 253-nucleotide ribosomal RNA is filed under the name uncultured bacterium. RNAcentral describes it as "partial 16S ribosomal RNA". It matches the Rfam family "Bacterial small subunit ribosomal RNA", at positions 524 to 776 of the family's 1533-position model. The record is from RNAcentral.
UACAGAGGGUGCAAGCGUUAAUCGGAAUUACUGGGCGUAAAGCGAGCGUAGUCGGUUAUUUAAGUCGGGUGUGAAAGCCCCGGGCUCAACCUGGGAAUUGCAUUCGAUACUGGAUAGCUAGAGUUCGGCAGAGGGAAGCGGAAUUUCCGGUGUAGCGGUGAAAUGCGUAGAUAUCGGAAGGAACAUCAGUGACGAAAGCGGCUUCCUGGACCAGAACUGACGAUCAGGCUCGAAAGCGUGGGGAGCAAACAGG